RNAcentral lists this ribosomal RNA (468 nucleotides) under uncultured bacterium. RNAcentral describes it as "partial 16S ribosomal RNA". It matches the Rfam family "Bacterial small subunit ribosomal RNA", at positions 28 to 507 of the family's 1533-position model. The record is from RNAcentral.
GACGAACGCUGGCGGCGUGCUUAACACAUGCAAGUCGAACGGAAAGGCCCUGCUUUUGUUUGGUUCUCGAUUGGCGAACGGGUGAGUAACACGUGUGUAACCUGCCCUUGUCUUUGGGAUAACUUCAGGAAACUGGGGCUCAUACCCGAUAGGAUCUCCUGCUCCAUGGUGGGGGUUGGAAAGUUUCGGCGGUUGGGGAUGGACUCGCGGCUUAUCAGCUUGUUUGUGGGGUAGUUGCUUACCAAGGCUUUGACGGGUAGCCGGCCUGAGAGGGUGAACGGCGACAUUGGGACUGAGAGACGGCGCAGAAGCGAACGGGAGGCAGCAGGGGGGAAUAUUGCAGAAUGGGCGGAAGUCAGAUGCAGAAACGCCGCGUGCGGGAUGACGGCCUUCGGGUGGUAAACAGAUGUGGAAUGUGACGAAGAGUGAGUGACGGUAAUGGGUAAAAAAGCAACGGCUAACUACGUG